This 1267-nucleotide long non-coding RNA is filed under the name Callithrix jacchus (white-tufted-ear marmoset). RNAcentral's name for it is "lncRNA (ENSCJAG00000076122.1)". The record is from RNAcentral. Lineage: Eukaryota; Metazoa; Chordata; Mammalia; Primates; Cebidae.
CCCAUGAGAAAGAGGCCAGCGAAGAUGUGUAAACAAGUAUGAGGAGUCCACCAGCAAGGGGCAGCACAGGGGGCCCUGAACUCAGCCUCGGAAUUGCCCUGACCACAUGGCCGCAUGUGGGCACAGCAGCCACAUCUGAAGCUGGGAGCCCACUCAGCCCCCAAGCAAGCACAACCUGCGAGUGUGGAGAGGUGACACUCUAGGAGCCAUCUCCAACCAGUGAAGAGUGAGAGCCAGCAGACACGUCUAGCCACUCAUCCUUUGGAGGGAACAUUCUAGGAGGCAUUCUGCACACUUGCCAACGGUCACAGAAGAAUCGAGCUGCUGCUGCCCAUAGCAGCAACCUUAAUGAUGACACUCAAUGGCUUUUCAUUCUUCCCUGCCUCACUCUCUCCCUUUCCUUUCACCUCUGCUUUUUGAGAUCUCCCAAAUAAACCACCUGCACCAAGUCCUUGUCUCUAGUCUCAGGCUGUAAUUUAAGGGAGCCUAAACUAAGAGAGCAAUAUUAUUAACGUUGAAGUUUCGAAGUAAGAAGCAUUUGAAGGUCCACGCUCAGUCUCGUUAGAAUACCAUCUGCUGCCUGUGCUAUCACCAUUUAUUUCUGAGCCAGAGGAAAGCAGAGUUCCAAAACAGGCUUUGAAAACCCUCUGACCCUCAGGAAAUGGCUGCCAUUCAGUCAGGCUGUGCGAAGGGCUCAGUAAUACAGAAAGCGAACACAGCCUCAUGGGGGCCUUAGUACAGAGACUCAAUUUAGCAGGUGAGAAGGAAUUCCAGUUUAACUCAGGGGAAAGCUAUUAGAUAAUAUUCUUUUCCCUAGUCAGAAUGGUUACGUUGAAAAAAACACACACACAUUGCUUAGGAGGGUUAAUGGAUAAGAAAAGAUUGGGACAAUGAGAUUCUAUAUGAACUAAAACGCUUACAAAUACUGUUACAAUCAUAAAAGCAUGCUGAAUUAUGAAAAUAACAAAGGAGUCCAGGCGCGCUGGCUCACGCCUGUAAUCCCAGCACUGUGGGAGGCCGAGGCAGGUGGAUCAUGAGGUCGAGACCAUCCUGGUCAACAUGGUGAAACCCCUCUCUACUAAAAAUACAAAAAAUUAGCUGGGCAUGGUGGCGCGUGCCUGUAAUCCCAGCUACUCAGGAGGCUGAGGCAGAAGAAUUGCCUGAACCCAGGAGGCAGAGCUUGUGGUGAGCCGAGAUCACGCCAUUGCACUCCAGCCUGGGUAACAAGAGCGAAACUCUGUCUCAAAAAAUAAAUAAAAAAUAACAA